Molecule: long non-coding RNA, 1585 nt
Filed under: Gouania willdenowi (blunt-snouted clingfish)
Lineage: Eukaryota; Metazoa; Chordata; Actinopteri; Blenniiformes; Gobiesocidae
Description: lncRNA (ENSGWIG00000009247.1)
Source: RNAcentral
AACUAAACCAACAAAAACACAAUUCUGGAAGAAAAUAGAGAUUUUAAUUGUGUGGGAACAGAUUAACACUAGAAGUCCCAGGGAUUUCUAUAUCCCCCCCAGAAGUCCCAGAGCAGGGUCAAAUUAACUCUAGGACCAAACUGACGACUCUGAUGGCUACAAUUUGCAUCUAUUCAUUUGUAAAUGAAUCACCUGAGAAAUCAGCAGGGGGGAGAGCCUGACUCUAACAAUGGAAGUCUGGAAUGUUAGGGGGAAGUGCCCUGGAAGCUAAAGUCACAAUGCCCCGUUUAUUAACUCGUUCUGCUUGAUGCUGGGGGAGAACAAACACAGACUACAAACAUUGAAAGAAACAGUCACCUCUUCCAACACACCUGAUUCAAAUGAUUAUCAGGCUUCUGCAGAGCUGGAUGAUCAUUUGAAUAAGGUGUGCUGAUUAGUGGCCCUCGAGGACCGGAAUUGGACACCCCUGGAAUACCCUGUUGUCAUGCAGCCUUUUGUGCUGUGGGGAAUAAAUAACUGGCUGCUUCCACCUGCUGACACUCCACACUUAUUCUACUCAAAAUGCAGAGAAGAUUUACCACUCAAGAAGUGUUGGAAUUGAUCCUGAACAAGGCAAACCCUUGUGACUCAGAUGGAGAGGACAUAAACCUUCAGCCAAAUUCGGAUUCGGACUCUGAGCUGUCUUCAGAUGACGAGACUGCUCCUCAUCUGGAAAAGAGAGCUCGGUUGGAGAGUGAGCCCACAGAGACGGCGAAAGAGGGCACAGUGUGGCAUGAAGAACAUGUGGGUACAAUUCUCCGUUUCACUCCAAUGGAACCGUACGCUGCAGAUGGAGAGCCAACAGCAAAGGCCAGAAGAAGAAUCAGGAGUCGCCUUCAGAGCUUCCUCUGUUUCAUUACUGUUGGCAUGCUCCGUCCCAUUCAAGAAUGGACUAUUCAGCAUGCACGGCAAACGGAGCAGACGGACUGGUUCAUGAUCCUCCAUGAACUAAUGGCAUUUAUUUCUGUUAUUAUUUUGAGGGGGGUGACCAAGGUUCCAUCUCUGCGUGACAGCUGGUCAGCAUGCCUGGGAAACCCACUUAUCACUGGAAUUAUGUCACAAAACCGUUUCCAAGACAUCAUGCGUCACCUACGAUUUGAUGACAUGUUUACGCGCAGUGAGCGAGUGCAGACAGAUAAGUUUGCUGCAAUUUCGGAUGUGUGGGGAUCGUUUGUUACCAACUGCAUCACAUGCUACAACCCUGGUUGACACAUCACAAUUGAUGAACAGCUUUUCCCAUCGAAGACUCGCUGCUGUUUCCUGCAGUACAUUGCAACAAAACCAGACAAAUUUGGCAUAAAGUUUUGGGUGGCUUGUGAUUUGAAAACAAAGUACAUCUGCAAUGUCCUCCCAUAUCUUGGAAAGGACCCCAGUCGUCCCAGUGAGGAGAGACUUUCUGAGAGUGUGGUGAUGAAGCUGAUGGAACCAUUUAUGGACAAAGGCAGGACGGUCACCACGGACAAUUUCUUUACAUCACUGACACUUGGACGACGACUGCUCAGCCGGAAAACCACCAUCCUCGGGACAGUCAACAAGAUUCGCCGGG